GUUGUUUCGUAGAGUAUGUAGAAUUCGAGAUAUCUGGUUUGAAAUCGGAUUUUGUAAAUACUACCAACCCAACGAACAUUUAUGGCCAUACCAGCCCUGUACGCACAUCCGAAAUAAAAAUGAAACUUGUAGAUUCCACCCAUUAUAGGCAAGAACACGAUGUAAUAUUUGGUAUGUUUUUGUUUCGCAAUGAAGAUAAAUUGUUCAAUGAUCAUCCUCAAAGCAGCAGACAAACUCCAUAGAGCAACACAAGGAAACUGUGAUCUGAUACCAUAAAUAUAUAUCAACAUGUCUGAAUUAAUAAUCAAAUAUAUAAUUCAAUAUUAAAAUUACACAAAUUAUUGUACAAUGAAUUAAAUAU
Long non-coding RNA from Adelges cooleyi (spruce gall adelgid), 361 nucleotides. RefSeq lists it as uncharacterized. Lineage: Eukaryota; Metazoa; Arthropoda; Insecta; Hemiptera; Adelgidae. The transcript is spliced from 3 exons. The record is from RefSeq and is a predicted model, not a curated record.